GAUAACCGCUGAAAGCAUCUUAAGUGGGAAACCUGCCUCAAGAUUAAUUCUCCCGAACCUAAUGGUUCCUGAAGAUCACUCGAAGACUACGAGUUUGAUAGGCACAGUGUGUAAGUUCUGUAAAGGAUUCAGCUAAUGUGUACUAAUCGAUCGUGAGCCUUAACU
Molecule: ribosomal RNA, 165 nt
Filed under: Candidatus Dadabacteria bacterium
Lineage: Bacteria; Pseudomonadati; Thermodesulfobacteriota; Candidatus Dadabacteria
Description: partial 23S ribosomal RNA
Rfam family: Bacterial large subunit ribosomal RNA
Source: RNAcentral